Molecule: ribosomal RNA, 355 nt
Filed under: Melligomphus ardens
Lineage: Eukaryota; Metazoa; Arthropoda; Insecta; Odonata; Gomphidae
Description: partial 12S ribosomal RNA
Source: RNAcentral
UUUAAAUGUGAAUAUUUAUAGACCAGGGUAGUAAUUGUUAAGUGCUUCAAACCCAAAGAAUUUGGCGGUGUUUUAGUCCUUUCAGAGGAAUCUGUCCCGUGAUCGACGUUCCACGAUAUGAUGUACUUAUUUUUGUUUUCAGUUUGUAUACCUCCGUCGUAAGAGAAUCUUUUUAGAGUUUAAUUUUCUUGAUAUAUUAAAUAUAUUAUGUCAGGUCAAGGUGCAAUUUAUGAAUAAGUGGAGAUGGAUUACAAUAAAAUUAUUUAAACGGAAUAAAUUAUUUAAUUUUUUAUAAAGGUGGAUUUGAUUGUAAUUUUAAUAGUUUAUUAUUAUGAUUAUUGGCUCUAAAACAUGC